CCCUUAGAUGUCCUGGGCCGCACGCGCGCUACACUGAUGCAUUCAGCGAGUUUUACCUUGGCCGAGAGGCCUGGGCAAUCUUUUAAACCUGCAUCGUGAUAGGGAUAGAUUAUUGCAAUUAUUAAUCUUGAACGAGGAAUUCCUAGUAAACGCAAAUCAUCAAUUUGCAUUGAUUACGUCCCUGCCCUUUGUACACACCGCCCGUCGCACCUACCGAUUGAAUGGUCCGGUGAAGCCUCGGGACUGUGGCCAGUUCACUUUAUUGGGAGUUGGCUGUGAGAACUUGUCUAAACCUUAUCAUUUAGAGGAAGGUGAAGUCGUAACA
Molecule: ribosomal RNA, 325 nt
Filed under: uncultured eukaryote
Lineage: Eukaryota
Description: partial 18S ribosomal RNA
Rfam family: Eukaryotic small subunit ribosomal RNA
Source: RNAcentral